RNAcentral lists this long non-coding RNA (666 nucleotides) under Volvox carteri. RNAcentral's name for it is "long non-coding RNA (VCAR_LNC004005)". Lineage: Eukaryota; Viridiplantae; Chlorophyta; Chlorophyceae; Chlamydomonadales; Volvocaceae. The record is from RNAcentral.
CUCGCCUCACCCGACACCUUGGAGCCCCGUCUCCCCUCGCCUCACCCGACACCUUGGAGCCCCCUCUCCCCUCGCCUCACCCGACACCUUGGAGCCCCGUCUCCCCUCGCCUCACCCGACACCUUGGAGCCCCCUCUCCCCUCGCCUCACCCGACACCUUGGAGCCCCGUCUCCCCUCGCCUCACCCGACACCUUGGAGCCCCCUCUCCCCUCGCCUCACCCGACACCUUGGAGCCCCCUCUCCCCUCGCCUCACCCGACACCUUGGAGCCCCCUCUCCCCUCGCCUCACCCGACACCUUGGAGCCCCCUCUCCCCUCGCCUCACCCGACACCUUGGAGCCCCCUCUCCCCUCGCCUCACCCGACACCUUGGAGCCCCGUCUCCCCUCGCCUCACCCGACACCUUGGAGCCCCCUCUCCCCUCGCCUCACCCGACACCUUGGAGCCCCCUCUCCCCUCGCCUCACCCGACACCUUGGAGCCCCCUCUCCCCUCGCCUCACCCGACACCUUGGAGCCCCCUCUCCCCUCGCCUCACCCGACACCUUGGAGCCCCCUCUCCCCUCGCCUCACCCGACACCUUGGAGCCCCGUCUCCCCUCGCCUCACCCGACACCUUGGAGCCCCCUCUCCCCUCGCCUCACCCGACACCUUGGAGCCCCGUCUCCCC